RNAcentral lists this long non-coding RNA (276 nucleotides) under Elaeis guineensis (African oil palm). RNAcentral's name for it is "long non-coding RNA (EGUI_LNC029284)". Lineage: Eukaryota; Viridiplantae; Streptophyta; Magnoliopsida; Arecales; Arecaceae. The record is from RNAcentral.
GGGGGAUGCCGGACAUAUCCACUACCGACCAAGCGAAUACGUCGGUAUUGGCCCUCAACAGCUCUAUUAGCUGCCGUUGCUCAGGGUCGGGUAAUUGGGAUCCGACCCAGACCACUCGUUUGGGAUUCUCCGCUAUCGGGAUGGAAACCAGCUGUUCGGUCGGUUCGCCCCGUUCUUCCUCUCCCAUUGGUUCAACUCGUCGGCCGUCAGGGAGUCCUUCGCUUCGUUACUUCGAGCAGAGAUUUGGAAGCAUCGUCGAGCGAGCUGUUGAUCCCC